AUGCUUGGGAAGAACAUAUACUAAAAAAAGAAUGAUACAGACAAAAUUAUCAUGGUCCCUGCACAAGGAUGGCACACAAAUUUGUGAAGCAUUCCAUAUUUUU
Small nuclear RNA from Jaculus jaculus (lesser Egyptian jerboa), 103 nucleotides. Lineage: Eukaryota; Metazoa; Chordata; Mammalia; Rodentia; Dipodidae. The record is from Ensembl.